Myotis lucifugus (little brown bat) is the source of this 75-nucleotide non-coding RNA. The record is from Rfam. Lineage: Eukaryota; Metazoa; Chordata; Mammalia; Chiroptera; Vespertilionidae.
GGUGGUUCUCAGGUGACGCACCCCAGAAUCGGUCUCCCUCCUCUCUGGUUCCAGGCACGUCACCAGAGAACUGCA